Molecule: RNA transcript, 2169 nt
Organism: Canis lupus familiaris (dog)
Lineage: Eukaryota; Metazoa; Chordata; Mammalia; Carnivora; Canidae
Gene: GPR108
Gene name: G protein-coupled receptor 108
Exons: 18
Source: RefSeq, a predicted model, not a curated record
CCGGGAGCCCCAACUUUUAGUCCUGUGUGUGCAUCCUCGGGGUCGCUCUGGGGCGCUGGGGCCCUGGGGGAGUCCCCGGGGCUCGUAGAACCGGGUCCCCUGGGCACUCGCUGGGAUCUUGGAAGCUCACACUUGUCUGGGGGGUCGGGGCUCCGCACACCAAGAUGAAGAACUCCGCUUUUGGGGUGGUGCUCACCCGCUGCCCAGACUUCCAGGGGGAGAAGCGAGCCGAGAUCCCGCUGAACAGCUUCGGCUUCUACGCCAAUGGCUCCCUGGAGGUGGACCUGAGCCUCCUGCGGCUGGGCCUCCGGGAGACAGAAGAGGAGACCCCGCUGGUGGGGUUCAGUCUGACUCGGGUUCAAUCUGGCAGCAUUCGAUCCUACUCAACCCCGAACCCCCCCAACUGUCCUCUCCGGAAAAACAGUAGCAACCUCCUGGUUCUCUUCCUCAUCAACACCAAGGAUCUGCGGGUCCAGGUGCGGAGGUAUGGGGACCAGAAGAAGCUGUUCAUCUCUCCUGGGCUCCUCCCCGAAGUGCCCUCUGAACCAGGGCCCCCGAAACCAGAGCUCACAGUCACCCCUAAAGUGGGCAGCGGGACCAUCGCUGUGCUCAGCAAGGCCCAGUCAAAACCCACAGUGUCCCAGGGAGACCAGCAGGGACCUCAGUGGGAAGGACAGCGAACUGGUCCUGGGGCUUGGGCAUCUCAACAAUUCCUACAACUUCAGUUUCCACGUGGUGAUCGGCUCUCGGGCCGAGGAAGGCCAGUACAGCCUCAACUUCCACAACUGCUACAACUCGGAGCCGGGCCGGGAGCAGCCGUUCGACCUCACGGUCAUGAUUCGGGAGAAGAACCCCGAGGGCUUCCUGUCGGCGGCGGAAAUCCCCCUGUUCAAGCUGUACCUGGUCAUGUCUGCCUGCUUCCUGGCAGCCGGCAUCUUCUGGGUGUCCGUCCUCUGCAGGAACACGUACAAGGUCUUCAAGAUCCACUGGCUCAUGGCGGCCCUCGCUUUCACCAAGAGCAUCUCCCUCCUUUUCCACAGUAUCAACUACUACUUCAUCAACAGCCAGGGCCACCCCAUCGAAGGCCUCGCUAUCAUGCACUACAUCACACACCUGCUGAAGGGUGCUCUCCUCUUCAUCACCAUCGCCUUGAUCGGCUCCGGCUGGGCCUUCGUCAAGUACGUCCUGUCAGACAAGGAGAAGAAGAUCUUUGGGAUCGUGAUUCCACUGCAGGUCCUGGCCAACGUGGCCUACAUUGUCAUCGAGUCCCGCGAGGAGGGCGCCAGUGAUUAUAGGCUCUGGAAGGAGAUCCUUUUCCUGGUGGAUCUCAUCUGCUGUGGCACCAUCCUCUUCCCUGUGGUCUGGUCCAUCCGGCAUCUCCAGGACGCAUCUGGCACCGAUGGAAAGGUGGCGGUGAACCUGGCCAAGCUGAAGCUGUUUCGGCAUUACUACAUCAUGGUCAUCUGUUACGUCUACUUCACGCGGAUCAUCGCCAUCCUGCUGCAGGUGGCUGUGCCCUUCCAGUGGCAGUGGCUAUACCAGCUCUUGGUAGAGGGCUCCACUCUGGCCUUCUUCGUGCUUACUGGCUACAAGUUCCAGCCUGCAGGCAACAACCCUUACCUACAGCUGCCCCAGGAGGAUGAGGAGGACAUGCAGAUGGAGCAGAUAAUGACCGAUUCUGGGUUCCGGGAAGGCCUGUCCAAGGUCAACAAAACAGCCAGCGGGCGGGAACUUUUGUGAUCCUCCCCUGUGUCUGGGACCGUCCUGCUUCCCCCACCUCCCGCCUCCGCCCUCUGCGUACACGUUCCUCACUCUAGCUCUGCUCCCAAAGCACACAUAUGUGUUGGGGUGGAGAGUGGGUGGGGGGGUGGCGGGGGAGGAAGGUGCCUGGGUGAGAGACUUGAGUUCCAGGAGCCCAUUUGGAAGAGAGCCCCUUCUUCCCCCAAGAUUUGGGCAGCCCUGUCCCUGCCCCUGAGCCACCUGCCACUUGCAGCUGUACAAUAAUGACCAAUCUGUUUUGCUACCCUGGUUUAUUUGCCUUUCUGUGUGUUGAGGCCUAACACAGAGGUUGUGUUUACAAUUUAGAAACCUAUAUUCAUUGUGGAGGGAGGGUUGUAGGAUCCGUUGCUUUACAUAUUCAGUAAAUAUCAGUUGAACAACUGCUCUGUA